CGUGUAGGCGGCUAAUUAAGUCAGGCGUGAAAUCUAUGGGCUUAACCCAUAAAUUGCGUUUGAAACUGGAUAGCUUGAGGAUCGGAGAGGGCAGUGGAAUUCCCAGUGUAGCGGUGAAAUGCGUAGAUAUUGGGAGGAACACCAGUGGCGAAGGCGACUGCCUGGACGACACCUGACGCUGAGGCGCGAAAGCUAGGGGAGCAAACGGGAUUAGAUACCCCGGUAGUCCUAGCCGUAAACGAUGGGUACUAGGUGUGGGAGGUAUCGACCCCUUCCGUGCCGCAGUUAACACAAUAAGUAUCCCACCUGGGGAGUACGGCCGCAAGGUUGAA
This 332-nucleotide ribosomal RNA is filed under the name uncultured bacterium. RNAcentral's name for it is "bacterial SSU rRNA". It matches the Rfam family "Bacterial small subunit ribosomal RNA", at positions 568 to 898 of the family's 1533-position model. The record is from RNAcentral.